ACGGGCUUAGUGUAGUGGUAACACAAGAGGACCGCAAUUACCCUCUUAUCGGUGGUUCGAACCCAUCAGCCUGUGCCA
This 78-nucleotide transfer RNA is filed under the name Bacillus thuringiensis. RNAcentral's name for it is "tRNA-OTHER". It matches the Rfam family "tRNA". Rfam says of the family: Transfer RNA (tRNA) molecules are approximately 80 nucleotides in length. Lineage: Bacteria; Bacillati; Bacillota; Bacilli; Caryophanales; Bacillaceae. The record is from RNAcentral.